CAGAAUCUCUGGUUCCGUAGACCAGCGCCUUAUCCAUUGGGCCAUGGAGUCACAAAGUUUUGGUGUUGAGAGUGGGAUUUGAACCCACGCCCUUUCGGACCAGAACCUUAAUCUGGCGCCUUAGACCAACUCGGCCAUCUCAACUUGAUGCUGUAUUUUGCACCCAAAUUUUACAAGUAAUUAUCUGUGACUAAAUAAUAACUUUGGCGAGGCAGUGUCAGAGUUUUUGUCAUGUUAUGUGUGAUGAUAGAUUCAACACCAGUGCUAUCGAGGUGUGUUUGUGUUCACAUUAUGUUCAUAAAAAAAGGACAAUCCAAAGAGAAUACUGUGUUACGUUUUGAGCAAGAUUCAUGCAUGCCAUGCUGCCACACAAAAAAUAAAAUAGAGGGUUUCUGGAUCUGACAUAGUAAAAUGAGCCUCGAGCAUUGAGUGUUUGUAUAUGAUAUUGGAUAUUACAUUAUAAUAAUAUGAACUAAAGCAUCAUUGAUUGGAUGAUACUAGAAUAGAAAAAAUAAGUACUAAAAGCAUCAUUUAUUGGAUUACAAGAGACAAGUUUUGUUAACAAAAUAGGAGACCAAAAGGGGGACAAGCUCUUAGGCCUAUCUUUUCUUCCAGCAACCUAGCUAUAUGUGGUGAAUUUCAUUAAUCUUGUGCUAAGUACUAACAACAAUAUACGGUGUGGGAUGAGACCAUUUGUCCUAAGUUGAAUUGCCAAGUAAUUAAUAUAUUAAACUCUAUUAGUCUCCACAAUGAGGGUGGGGAUAAGAAACACGUGAAGGUCAAUAGUUCAACUGAAAGAUUCUUGGCCGUAUGAAUGAAUUAUUAGUCUUGGCAUUACUUAAUUUGUAUGUAUACUUUGUUUCCUUCUUGUGCUUACAACUACCUUUUUCCAAUAUUUGACAAAAGAAGAGAAGAAUAUAAUACAGACAUGCUAAUUUUGUGCUAAGUAAUCUGACUUGACUCACAUGCAUGGAUUUCAAAGACUGAUCAUCUACUAUUUGUUUACUUGUUUUACUCCAAUCGAAGAUAAAGAAAAAGAG
Glycine soja is the source of this 1040-nucleotide long non-coding RNA. RefSeq lists it as uncharacterized. The record is from RefSeq and is a predicted model, not a curated record. The transcript is spliced from 3 exons. NCBI's taxonomy places the organism in Eukaryota, Viridiplantae, Streptophyta, Magnoliopsida, Fabales, Fabaceae.